Molecule: long non-coding RNA, 172 nt
Organism: Poecilia reticulata (guppy)
Lineage: Eukaryota; Metazoa; Chordata; Actinopteri; Cyprinodontiformes; Poeciliidae
Source: RefSeq, a predicted model, not a curated record
ACAUGGAGAAGCAGCAUUCGACUUCUCUGCACCACAAAUCUGGAACAGACGUCCAGAAAACUGAAACGGCUACAACACCUACUUCCUGAAAAUCAGGGAUGAUUUUCCUCUUGUCACUCUUCCAUUGAAGCCAGAUUUAUGGACAAUAAAAAUGUUCCUGUUAUCUACCUGA